Molecule: RNA transcript, 2735 nt
Organism: Ipomoea nil (Japanese morning glory)
Lineage: Eukaryota; Viridiplantae; Streptophyta; Magnoliopsida; Solanales; Convolvulaceae
Gene name: factor of DNA methylation 4-like
Exons: 7
Source: RefSeq, a predicted model, not a curated record
UAAGAAUAUACUCCGUAGAAAGCUUUGUGGCAAGAACAUAAGAAGCUAGGGACUCCCAAGUCCCAACAACCGAACUGAACUUGUUACUGCUAGUACCUGUUAAAACUUUGUUCUUUACUUAUUUCUGAGCAGAUUUUCUAUCUAAAAUUCUAAAUGCAUGUGAUUAGCUUCUAUUAUUUAUUGUUAAACUGAACUAAAAAUUCUUUGUUUCAUUACAGGCAGAUAAUGCCUUACAGGAGAGAGUUCAAGCUGCGUGUAUGUAGUAAUUCAAAACUGGAAGAGUUGAAAUGCAGAUACUAUAAGGAUUUGAGAGAAGGAGAAGACAGGAUCAGCGGAUCAAGAAAGUAUUUCCGAUGUCCAUAUUGUCAGGGUAAGAGAGGUAAGAAGUAUGAUAUGCAAAGGCUCCUAAAGCACUCUUAUCGGAUAGGUUAUGCUUCAAAGUCUUCAAGUUUGAGCGAUAAGGCUAGACAUUUAGGGUUGCUUAAGUAUUUAGAGAGGCGUAGAUAUGCUAAAAGUAAUGCUAGGCAUCCAUCGCCCAGUGAUCCAUCUACCAAUGGAGCUAAUGAAGAAACUUUUGUUUGGCCUUGGAUGGGAAUUGUUGCUAAUAUUCCUGUAUUAUAUAAGGAUGGAAAAUUUGUUGAUGAAAGUGGUCAAAAACUGAAAAUGGAGUUGGUUGCCAAAGGAUAUAAUCCAGUGAAGGUUUAUACAUUGUUGGCCGACAGGGGUUUUUCAGGAUAUGCCAUUGUUGAAUUUAAUUCUAACUUUUCUGGAUUUGCAAAUGCAAUGGCAUUUGCAUGGGAGUUUGAACUGGAUAAGCAUGGUAAGCAAGAAUGGUAUUCGAGUUUGAAAGAUGAGUCAGAUGACAAUCUUUAUGCAUGGAUUGCUGGCAAGGAAGAGUACAAUUCAAAUAGUAUCGUUGGGAAUUAUCUAAGGAGAAAUGGAGAUUUAAGAACCAUUUCUGAGAUCCGAAAUGAGAAUAGAAAAGAAAAUUCCCAACUAUUUUCCAACUUGAUCAAUGAGUUGGGGUUGAAGUACAAGGAAUGUGAAGAGAUGGAGAAAAUGAUAAGUGAAACUGAAGUUUUAAUGGGCAAUGUGAUGAAAGAAAAAGAGGAGAUGCUCUCAAUGCAUAAUAAAGAGUUGGAGAUGAUACAUCAGGAGGGAUUGAAACAGGUGGAAACCAUUUUGAGUGAGCAGGAGACAAGUAAACAACAAUUGGAUGAUCAUGAAAAAGAGCUGAAACUGCGAGAAGAUGAAAUAAGACAGCGUGAAAAACUUAAUGAAAGUGAGAAAAUGAAGCUUGACUGUGAGAAAGAAAUGAAUGAGAGAGCAAUUCUGGCACAAACGAAGGUUUCUGAGACAAUGAUGAAACUGGCUGAUGAACUGAAGAGAGAGAAGGAACAAGCCUUGGUGAAAAUCUUUAGGCUUGAAAGAGAACUUGAUCAGAAGCAAGCAUUGGAGUUGGAGGUAGAGAAGUUAAAAGGUUUGGUCAAAGUUAGGAGACACAUGAUGGAAAGAGGUUUGGCAGCUAGAAACAAAUGUACACCAAUCUUAGAAGAGCUGAUAGAAAAGCUAGAUGGACAUGAUCAUUUGGAAAACAUGACUUAUGAACUUACUAUAAAGCAUCGGCAUGUCGAUGAUCAGGUGCAGGAGGCUCGCAAAGAGAUGAUAAAUGAUGACUGGAUGGUCAUACAGACUCAUGCCACUUUCACUGCACCUCACCUGCUCACUGGAUGUGGAGGAAUCAUGCACAAUAACAAAGGAGACUGGGUAGGAGGCUUUAGUUGCUCCAUGAAGGCCAAUAACGCAGCAGAUGGAGAAGCAUGGGCAGUGUAUACUGGACUUAAUUGGGCAUGGAAUGCUGGAAAAAGGAAAGUGUGCAUUUUGAGCGAUGCGAAAGAGGUCGUGCUUUGGGUGAACAAGGGUCCUAUCCCGCAAGGGCCUUGCGGAAAAAUUAUUCAACAUUGCAAGGAUUUGAUGAUCAAGGACUGGGAAGUAAUCAUCGGUUAUAUUCCCUCCGAUUUGAACACUGCGGCUGAUGAGAUUGCUAAACUGGCACCUAGAAUAAAAUGUGAUUGGAUUGAGUUCCGGAGUCCGCCUUUGGAAAUCAUGGACCAACUCGAGACCGACAGAGCCAAGAUGGCGAUUUGGAAUGAUGCGAAUUGUAAUAUUUGAGUGUUAGUCAGCUAUGCCGAGAAAUCCAAUGACUUUGGGCAGAAGAUUUGAAGGCUUUCUUGGGAUCCUUGUUCAUUUGAUGUCAAAUUACUUAAUUAUCUGCCUUGCUUGAUAUCUAGACUGGAAUCCAAUUAAGGUUAUCGAGAAUGGAAGAAAAGAUGUGUGGGUGAUUGAUGAAGAAGAUGGGAAACUGGUGGUUCUGAGGAAAGAGUAUGGUGAUGAAGUGUAUAAUGCUGUGACCACUGCACUGAUGGAGUUGAAUGAGUACAAUUCCAGCGGCAGGUGUCUAGAGGUAGAGCUGUGGAAUACUAAGGAGAAAAGAAGAGCAGAACUGAAGGAAGGAGUUGAGCUAAUACUAAAACAAUGGCGGACGCUUAAGAACAGAGAUGUGUAGUUUGUCUCAAAUUUGCUCUAUCCGGUGUUAAUACCAGUAAUAGAAGUAUGUAUUGGCUUUUGGUAAUAGCUUAUAAUUAUGGAUUAAGAAGUUAGUGCCAAGUUUUUGCUUAGUAGUAGCAAGCUAAAAUAUGUGCACAACCAGAAAUCAAUGGUUAAGGGUUCGGUCA